ACCCUCCAUGUCUUGGGGAGCAAAAUGUCCAAUGAUCGUUAAGUGAGGACAUUGUUGCUGACACCAUUUAUUAUAAUCUAUAGCGUACUUAUAUUUUUAAAGAU
RNAcentral lists this non-coding RNA (104 nucleotides) under Rhodnius prolixus. RNAcentral describes it as "U4atac minor spliceosomal RNA". It matches the Rfam family "U4atac minor spliceosomal RNA". Rfam says of the family: U4atac is an essential component of the minor U12-type spliceosome complex which is required for removal of the rarer class of eukaryotic introns (AT-AC, U12-type). These interacting stem loops have been shown to be required for in vivo splicing. U4atac also contains an 3' Sm protein binding site which has been shown to be essential for splicing activity. The record is from Rfam by way of RNAcentral. Lineage: Eukaryota; Metazoa; Arthropoda; Insecta; Hemiptera; Reduviidae.